Molecule: ribosomal RNA, 212 nt
Filed under: uncultured bacterium
Lineage: Bacteria
Description: partial 16S ribosomal RNA
Rfam family: Bacterial small subunit ribosomal RNA
Source: RNAcentral
UCGGAACGUAUCCAUAAGUGGGGACAACCUAGCGAAAGUUAGGCUAAUACCGCAUACGCAGGAGACUGGAAAGUGGGGGAUCGCAAGACCUCACGCUUUAGGAGCGGCCGAUAUCAGAUUAGCUAGAUGGUGAGGUAAAGGCUUACCAUGGCGACGAUCUGUAGCUGGUCUGAGAGGAUGAUCAGCCACACUGGGACUGAGACACGGCCCAG